CUUGCUGAAUAUUAUUCUGCAUAAAAAUUUAGAAAGCAGCAGGUUAAGGGUGAAUGUGUAGUGAGCACCCCCUGCUGGCAAAGCUGCGUACGAGCCGAUGAGUGAAAGGGGGUGGAGAGGAUUGUAUUGCAGACCUCUUGACACAACAGCAAACAUAUUCCAUGGAACAAGAACUUUUCUAAAGAAGCGUUCUAUACUCAGAACUCAGAAAAUAGGAUGUGAGUGAAUCAUGAUAUAUACAUUAAUCUGAGAGAGUGGACACAUACCUGGGAGUAGUAUUAAAAUGAACAAUUAGGAAGUCAUGGUGAAGAGAUCAGCUGCUCAAAAAACAGACAGAAGACACUUAUCCAAGAUGUGCAAAUCAAGUUUCCUAUAAGACCACGAAUAAAACAACAUUUAAGAAACAUUUCCUGCUGUUUGCUUAACAUGAAUCUGUCACCACACAGUUGAUAUACUUGGAACUAAAG
Pelobates cultripes (western spadefoot toad) is the source of this 467-nucleotide non-coding RNA. NCBI's taxonomy places the organism in Eukaryota, Metazoa, Chordata, Amphibia, Anura, Pelobatidae. The record is from the annotation of a GenBank genome assembly.